GACGAACGCUGGCGGCGUGCUUAACACAUGCAAGUCGAACGGAAAGGCCCUGCUUUUGUGAGGUGCUCGAGUGGCGAACGGGUGAGUAACACGUGAGUAACCUGCCCUUGACUUUGGGAUAACUUCAGGAAACUGGGGCUAAUACCGGAUAGGAGCUCCUGCUGCAUGGUGGGGGUUGGAAAGUUUCGGCGGUUGGGGAUGGACUCGCGGCUUAUCAGCCUGUUGGUGGGGUAGUGGCUUACCAAGGCUUUGACGGGUAGCCGGCCUGAGAGGGUGACCGGCCACAUUGGGACUGAGAUACGGCCCAGACUCCUACGGGAGGCAGCAGUGGGGAAUAUUGCACAAUGGGCGGAAGCCUGAUGCAGCAACGCCGCGUGCGGGAUGACGGCCUUCGGGUUGUAAACCGCUUUCGCCUGUGACGAAGCGUGAGUGACGGUAAUGGGUAAAGAAGCACCGGCUAACUACGUG
RNAcentral lists this ribosomal RNA (468 nucleotides) under uncultured bacterium. RNAcentral's name for it is "partial 16S ribosomal RNA". It matches the Rfam family "Bacterial small subunit ribosomal RNA", at positions 28 to 507 of the family's 1533-position model. The record is from RNAcentral.